Molecule: long non-coding RNA, 319 nt
Filed under: Manihot esculenta (cassava)
Lineage: Eukaryota; Viridiplantae; Streptophyta; Magnoliopsida; Malpighiales; Euphorbiaceae
Description: long non-coding RNA (MESC_LNC013013)
Source: RNAcentral
CCCAAGAAUCCCCUUAAACUCACUCAACUAUCCAUGCAAAGCAUGCAAAAGAAAGCUGGACAGGACACUUUCGGCGGCAGGUUCGGCGGCCGAAAGUCCUCUCCAGAGACGAAACUCAAGCACCUUCGGCGGCACCUUCGGCGGCCGAAACUCCCAAACAGAGCCGAACAUGCAAAACAGGCUGUGGCAGCCAAGCCACCAUGCAAGAGGUUCGGCGGCCGAAUGAACCUUCGGCUGCCGAACCUGAGUUCAUCCAGAACUCAGCUUCAACGGCAAACCAUCUUCUCCUUCCCUUCAACCACUCAAACCAUAUAUACUC